This is a long non-coding RNA of Pantherophis guttatus, 1232 nucleotides long. RefSeq lists it as uncharacterized. The record is from RefSeq and is a predicted model, not a curated record. NCBI's taxonomy places the organism in Eukaryota, Metazoa, Chordata, Lepidosauria, Squamata, Colubridae.
CCUUAAGCGGUGCAUCUGACAUGAACUGGAACAGGAACAGGAAUUUAUGGAUUGUUUAACCACCCCAGAAUUCCAAGGUUAGAUUUGAAAAAUCAUCUUUUAUUUAAAAGAACAGGUGGAUAACAAAACCAAGACAAAUCUCAAGUCAACAAGAAUGCUCGGGAGAAAAAGUAAAGGGGACAAAUCAAAAUACAAGUUCACAAAGAAUACAGAAUAUAUUUUGCUGCAACUCCUAUUUUUUCCAUUCAUCAUUUGUUAGGAUCUCAAGAACAUGUAGUGUAUGCAGUGCUGGCAUAUGCUUAAUGAUCCUUUUACCAAACAAAUGUCUUAAAUGCAAAUGAAGAAAUUAGUUAAUAUUGAUGAUGCUGUUACAUUAAAUCUAUUUAAUAUCACACUGUGUUUCUGAAAUGAGGUGCUUUCCUAAUAGUAACUUAAAGACUUGCUGAAGAAAGAUUUGAAAUUAAGAAUGGCCAAGUCUGCUCCUGACCCACUUUUUAAGAUGUAAAAAUAAAAGGAUUGUCCAAAGUUAGGAAUAGGAUUUAAUAUGACCAAUCCACUUAAAUAUAAGCAAGUAUUACAAUAUAUUUUACUGCAAAAAGUCCUAAUUUCACAUACAAUUUGGGAUACAAGAUGAUAAUAACUGGUCAGAAUAAGGAUCUUGAAUCUGUGAUGAAAAACUCUUUGUACAGUUGCCAAAAGAUUAAAAAUUAGCAAUUGCAGAAUGAUUUGUCUCAAAUAUAUACAUUUAAAAGUUUGAAUGUAUGCUUCGGAUUAUUAGGAAACUAUAUCAUGUUUUUAUUAAACUUUAAAUCUGAGAACAUCUAGAAUAUAAUGUACAAUUAUAGUAAACUCCAAAAGAGUACUAUACAGCAAAUAAAAUGUUCAAAAGGAAGAUUUCCCCUAUGAAAAAACAUUACACUUAGUCAGUAAAUUUAUAGUUUAGAUGAAGCUAAGAACAUGAUAAAAAAGAUAAGAUUAUGUUAGCAGAUAUAACCUUUUGACCAAAUACAGCACAUUAUUUAGCAUUAGUUAGUGUUAGCCAGUUUGGUCUAGUGGUUAAAGGCACCAGGCUUGAAAGUGGGAGACUGUGAGUUCAAUUCCCACUUUAGCCAUGAAAGCCAGCUUGGGUGACUUUGGGCCAGUCGUUCUCUCUCAGCCUAACGCACCUCAUAGGGUUGAUAGCUUGGAGGAAGAAGGUGUUUGCUACCUUGAAUUAUUUGUAAAAAUAAUUA